Rhea pennata is the source of this 533-nucleotide long non-coding RNA. RefSeq lists it as uncharacterized. The transcript has 2 exons. NCBI's taxonomy places the organism in Eukaryota, Metazoa, Chordata, Aves, Rheiformes, Rheidae. The record is from RefSeq and is a predicted model, not a curated record.
CAGGGCGAACAGAUGGCCCCUGGCCUGGGGCGGGUGCCUGGAGGGAGGGGAGUGCCAGGCACCCACCCGAAUUCCCAGCAGACAUCCCGCCAGCCAGCCGCAUGCCUCUCAUCCCAGCAACGCCUCAGUACGGAGAUGGAGAAAGCAAGCAAGGAAGCAAGCAAGCGCAGCUCCCCCUGCAAGGCUGGCAUGCUGGCAGCAUUUCCCGUGCAAAGGCACGCUGGAGGCCAAGCGUGAGAAAGGCGGCCUCGUGGUAUUCGUCUCUCGGAAAGGGCAGCGUCAGUGCCACACUCGAGCAGAAAGCACAGCAAGGAAGAAGGUGAGAAGGCACACGGGAAGCGGCAGAUCACCAGAUCUAAGUUUACACCAGUGUACACAUGAAAACACAGUCUCACGUCCUCCUGUUGAGGAGGUUCAUACAGCUGCUGUCUCUGAAUGGAAAAGAUGUGGGUUGCCUGGUAGCAAUGUCCAGCUUGACCUUCAGUAUCCAGUUCGUAGACUUGACUAAUAUUAAAUCAAUGCAUGGAGCUGAA